CAGUCCAUCAUGAGAUUCGUAACUUUGGUUUUAAUUCCAUAUGAAUUAGAGUUUCGCUUAUGUUUUUGUUUUUGUUUUCUGCGACAGUGAUUAUUGUAUCGAUGUACGGCGCAGCAUUGUACUAUGGCAAUAAACAUGGGCAAGCGUUGGCUGAAUUCCAUGAACAUACGUCAGAGAAAUAUGCUGCAUGGUAUGGAUUUACAUAAUUUGAACAUGAAUGUUGUUGGUUUUGUUUGUAUUUGGUUGGGAUUAUAGAUAGUUAGGCUCAAGUUUAUAUUGGCCUUGAAAACUUCUACCAAUUGUGUACCGGCUUUAGUAUGUUAUCAUUUGGGCCAUUAGGACUUCUGUUUUUCUU
Rhododendron vialii is the source of this 355-nucleotide long non-coding RNA. RefSeq lists it as uncharacterized. The record is from RefSeq and is a predicted model, not a curated record. The transcript is spliced from 2 exons. NCBI's taxonomy places the organism in Eukaryota, Viridiplantae, Streptophyta, Magnoliopsida, Ericales, Ericaceae.